Long non-coding RNA from Vigna angularis (adzuki bean), 468 nucleotides. RefSeq lists it as uncharacterized. The transcript is spliced from 3 exons. The record is from RefSeq and is a predicted model, not a curated record. NCBI's taxonomy places the organism in Eukaryota, Viridiplantae, Streptophyta, Magnoliopsida, Fabales, Fabaceae.
UCGCCGAACUUCGAAGGCUUUACACCAACGUCGAAGGUUCUGAGAACAUUUCUCCUUUAUCCCGAAGCAAAGGCAUAUCACUCUGCAACCCAAAGGGUAGUAAACAUUAAACAGUACAAGAGAUGACCAUAUAAAACAUUCAAUGGGCAUACCCAACACUAACUUGAGAAGAAAGAUUUAGUUAUCAUCAGAGAAAUGAGAGGUUCAUGGUUCGAAUCAAAAUGGAUCCAGAUAAUUUAUCAACACGGAAAAAUGUUGUAAUAUACAGUGAAAUUGGUCUGGAUGUGUCACCAUCAUCAUCACUGGAUGACAGUCCCUCAAAAAGUGAGGGGAUUUCUUGUGAUCCUCAUGAAGCUCCUUUUGAAUCUCCAACCAUUAUCCUUCAGUACAAAUGCAUCAAAACUAUUGAGGAGCUAGUUUCAAAUACCAUGAAGCUUCCACUUUUAUCUAGUUCAUAUUCUUCCAGUG